AUAUAUUUGUAUACGCAUGUGUAUAGCGCAGAAACAAACACGCGCAAGUAACAAAAUAAUACUGCAUGUUCAUAGCACACAUUUUCGUGCUUUUCCGGAGAAUGCUGCUGAAUUCCAGUUACGUAAGAGUACUGACAACAGUACGUUUAACCACGUGAUUAUAUAAACGUCAUCAAGCCUGCGCUUGACAGAUUAUGUCUUGUCGACGACAUCCCCUAUCGUCGCAUUGGCGAGUCAUAAAAACGGCCCUUUCGUUCACUAAACAAUGGUGAUAUAGAACAUCGAGACCGGGAAAGAGGAUGGGAAAGCAAAACAGGCUUCCGGCGGAAAUAUUUUGCGCAAGUUAUUUCUUGCGCACGCCUCUUUAUCAAACAUUUUCUGCCUCAUACGUGCGUCCCAAAUUAAGCGAUACAACAUGUAUAUCGCAGAACUUCUGUUGGAUGGACCAACACAAUUUCAUAGGAAAAAGUUUGUUUUGUACGAGUUUAUUAAGUUCACUGUUAGCUCAAAAUAACUGUUUUUUUUACAAAAAAAGUUUUAUUAAAAAAUAUGAUUGCACAUUAAAUAUAUCAAGUUUAUGAUUAGAAAACAGAUUAUGGACUAUGAGAAAACGAAAAAAGCUUGUUAGGUAAAAAAGUGUGAGACUUUUACAAAUAGCUGAUAAAUUCACGAAAUCUUGCGUUAUAAUAUUAACACCACUAUAGUUUAAUAUUUUCAAUAUUCCCAUAUAUUGUGACGUAUGUUAUAUAAUUUUGAAAGGCACUUUAAAAUCAAAUAAAAGGACAAUUUUGAUACUGGCAAUCAGAAGAUGAUCAUAAGUCAAAUUUCCCAUUUUUACAGGGAAAAUUUAGUAUAUUUAAAAUUUAGUAUAUUUCCUUGUAAAAAUAGGAAAAUUGACUUAUAAUCUUUUCUCUCUUUCAACCUUCAUAUAUUAACUUAGAAUUAAUAUUCUUGAAAACAUAUUAUUGUAUAUUAUCAUUCGUUUUUAUUGAAAAGAUAAACAUUAAUAUGAUUUGUUAAUGUAAAUAAGUAAAUAUAAGGAAGAUAAUUUGAGUCAUCUAAUUAAUGCACGUAUUAAAGAUGAACUGUUAGAAAGUCGUUGCGUUACUAUGCUGUCAUAAUUGCAGAAAAUUGAAUUGACUCAACCUAAAUACUCAAUUUAUUAUAUUUACGGUAGAAUUAUAUUUGUGCAAACAUACAAGAGUGUCAGGUGCCAAUGAAGGAUCGUUAGAAUCUUUUCUUAUAAUACACCACUUCGUCCGCUUUUGAACAUCUGUAUCCUCGAGUUUCCGAACCUAUUGUAGUAUUCACAAGCCAGCAGUUAUAGCGUGCGGAUCUUUACAUUGUUAGGUCACUGUCGAAAGAGUAUUAAGCAUUAUUGGUAUACUUAUCACUCGUAAACGAAGAUAGCACAAAAGUUGUUGUAGUUCUAAGAAUUUUCUUAAUAAACACUUAAUAAACACUACAGUUAAUUUAUAGAA
RNAcentral lists this unclassified non-coding RNA (1481 nucleotides) under Bombus terrestris (buff-tailed bumblebee). Its description in RNAcentral is "misc RNA ENSBTSG00005036692.1". The record is from RNAcentral. Lineage: Eukaryota; Metazoa; Arthropoda; Insecta; Hymenoptera; Apidae.